CGGAGGGUGCAAGCGUUAUCCGGAUUCACUGGGUUUAAAGGGUGCGUAGGCGGAUAGGUAAGUCCGUGGUGAAAUCCUGCAGCUUAACUGCAGAACUGCCGUGGAUACUAUCUAUCUUGAAUGUCGUGGAGGUUAGCGGAAUAUGUCAUGUAGCGGUGAAAUGCUUAGAUAUGACAUAGAACACCCAUUGCGAAGGCAGCUAACUACGCGAAUAUUGACGCUGAGGCACGAAAGCGUGGGGAUCAAACAGGAUUAGAUACCCUGGUAGUCCACGCCCUAAACGAUGAUUACUCGACAUUGGCGAUACACAGUCAGUGUCUGAGCGAAAGCAUUAAGUAAUCCACCUGGGAAGUACGAUCGCAAGAUUG
This 368-nucleotide ribosomal RNA is filed under the name uncultured organism. Its description in RNAcentral is "bacterial SSU rRNA". It matches the Rfam family "Bacterial small subunit ribosomal RNA", at positions 526 to 896 of the family's 1533-position model. The record is from RNAcentral.